UGGGGAAUUUUGGACAAUGGGGGAAACCCUGAUCCAGCCAUCCCGCGUGUGCGAUGAAGGCCUUCGGGUUGUAAAGCACUUUUGGCAGGAAAGAAACGUCAUGGGUUAAUACCCCGUGAAACUGACGGUACCUGCAGAAUAAGCACCGGCUAACUACGUGCCAGCAGCCGCGGUAAUACGUAGGGUGCAAGCGUUAAUCGGAAUUACUGGGCGUAAAGCGUGCGCAGGCGGUUCGGAAAGAAAGAUGUGAAAUCCCAGAGCUCAACUUUGGAACUGCAUUUUUAACUACCGGGCUAGAGUGUGUCAGAGGGAGGUGGAAUUCCGGGUGUAGCAGUGAAAUGCGUAGAUAUGCGGAGGAAAACCGAUGGCGAAGGCAGCCUCCUGGGAUAACACUGACGCUCAUGGACGAAAGCGUGGGGAGCAAACAGG
Molecule: ribosomal RNA, 429 nt
Filed under: Acidobacteriota bacterium
Lineage: Bacteria; Pseudomonadati; Acidobacteriota
Description: Acidobacteria bacterium partial 16S ribosomal RNA
Rfam family: Bacterial small subunit ribosomal RNA
Source: RNAcentral